This 253-nucleotide ribosomal RNA is filed under the name Mediterraneibacter faecis JCM 15917. RNAcentral's name for it is "[Ruminococcus] faecis JCM 15917 partial 16S ribosomal RNA". It matches the Rfam family "Bacterial small subunit ribosomal RNA", at positions 524 to 776 of the family's 1533-position model. Lineage: Bacteria; Bacillati; Bacillota; Clostridia; Lachnospirales; Lachnospiraceae. The record is from RNAcentral.
UACGUAUGGUGCAAGCGUUAUCCGGAUUUACUGGGUGUAAAGGGAGUGUAGACGGAGUGGCAAGUCUGAUGUGAAAACCCGGGGCUCAACCCCGGGACUGCAUUGGAAACUGUCAAUCUGGAGUACCGGAGAGGUAAGCGGAAUUCCUAGUGUAGCGGUGAAAUGCGUAGAUAUUAGGAGGAACACCAGUGGCGAAGGCGGCUUACUGGACGGUAACUGACGUUGAGGCUCGAAAGCGUGGGGAGCAAACAGG